This 430-nucleotide ribosomal RNA is filed under the name bacterium. Its description in RNAcentral is "partial 16S ribosomal RNA". It matches the Rfam family "Bacterial small subunit ribosomal RNA", at positions 355 to 776 of the family's 1533-position model. The record is from RNAcentral.
UGGGGAAUAUUGGACAAUGGGCGCAAGCCUGAUCCAGCCAUGCCGCGUGUGUGAAGAAGGCCUUUUGGUUGUAAAGCACUUUAAGCGAGGAGGAGGCUACUUGGAUUAAUACUCUAAGAUAGUGGACGUUACUCGCAGAAUAAGCACCGGCUAACUCUGUGCCAGCAGCCGCGGUAAUACAGAGGGUGCGAGCGUUAAUCGGAUUUACUGGGCGUAAAGCGUGCGUAGGCGGCUUCUUAAGUCGGAUGUGAAAUCCCUGAGCUUAACUUAGGAAUUGCAUUCGAUACUGGGAAGCUAGAGCAUGGGAGAGGAUGGUAGAAUUCCAGGUGUAGCGGUGAAAUGCGUAGAGAUCUGGAGGAAUACCGAUGGCGAAGGCAGCCAUCUGGCCUAAUACUGACGCUGAGGUACGAAAGCAUGGGGAGCAAACAGG